Molecule: ribosomal RNA, 254 nt
Filed under: Enterobacter cloacae
Lineage: Bacteria; Pseudomonadati; Pseudomonadota; Gammaproteobacteria; Enterobacterales; Enterobacteriaceae
Also listed under: 3 other names
Description: partial 23S ribosomal RNA
Rfam family: Bacterial large subunit ribosomal RNA
Source: RNAcentral
CAAGGCUAAAUACUCCUGACUGACCGAUAGUGAACCAGUACCGUGAGGGAAAGGCGAAAAGAACCCCGGCGAGGGGAGUGAAAAAGAACCUGAAACCGUGUACGUACAAGCAGUGGGAGCACCUUCGGGUGUGACUGCGUACCUUUUGUAUAAUGGGUCAGCGACUUAUAUUCUGUAGCAAGGUUAACCGUAUAGGGGAGCCGAAGGGAAACCGAGUCUUAACUGGGCGUUAAGUUGCAGGGUAUAGACCCGAA